UCCUACGGGAGGCAGCAGUAGGGAAUCUUCCGCAAUGGACGAAAGUCUGACGGAGCAACGCCGCGUGAGUGAUGAAGGUUUUCGGAUCGUAAAACUCUGUUGUCGGGGAAGAACAAGUAUGAUAGUAACUGAUCGUACCUUGACGGUACCCGACCAGAAAGCCACGGCUAACUACGUGCCAGCAGCCGCGGUAAUGAGCGCCGC
RNAcentral lists this ribosomal RNA (204 nucleotides) under uncultured bacterium. RNAcentral's name for it is "partial 16S ribosomal RNA". It matches the Rfam family "Bacterial small subunit ribosomal RNA", at positions 337 to 535 of the family's 1533-position model. The record is from RNAcentral.